RNAcentral lists this long non-coding RNA (1548 nucleotides) under Marmota monax (woodchuck). The record is from RNAcentral. Lineage: Eukaryota; Metazoa; Chordata; Mammalia; Rodentia; Sciuridae.
GUGAGGAGUGUUAGAGUCUGUAAACAAGUCAAAAAUAACACCUGGCAUUUUGCCAGGGGAAUGUUAGAGUUCGUAAACAAGUCUGGAUGGUGCCUGGCAAAAUGCCAGAGGGAGUGGUUUGAGAAGUAACAAAAACAAGCCAUUAAGUGUGGAGAUUCCUUAUUGGUUGACUGAUGUAUCUAGUUUAUGCUAAUUAGAUAAGCUGUGUGGAAUGUAUAAAUACUGCUCCUGUCCUGCAAUAAACGGCUCCUACUCCUGCUGUAUCAAGUACACAAGUUAUUCGUCACCCCCCCGGCUAGUUUGCUGCAGCCAGACAGACUGCGGCAGAUGGUGGCCCGUUACGGGGAGCCCCGGGACACUUGGGGGUAAGUGACGAAAAAAGCUGCCCGUCCAUAGAUAGGACGGGAGCAAUCUGCUCGUCCCUAGACAGAUAGGGCGAGAGGAAAAAUGACCAUUUCGAGAAAAUGGAGAAGAUUGAUACAGUAUGUUUGUGUCUUGUUUUGUCUCAGUGUAUUGUAUUGUCUUUGUGAUGAAAAUAUGGAAGGGGUGAGAAGUAAAUUACUAAGGGAAGAAGGCACCCCAGUGGAACCAAGAAUAGUUAGGGCAUGUGUUGAUAAGAGCCCAGGAACUCUAGUCAGAAAGAAAAAGAAAGUUCAGAAGAAGAAGGAUUAUCAGGAAAAAAGUUGCAGCAAAAGGCUAUUACUAAAUACUUUUCGUUACCGGAGGGUGCGUGAAGCGGAGAGGCAGCUACCAAGUGUGCAAGCCGGUCACAGCGCAGCAAGGAUUUUCCAAGAGGCGGCAGUGACUGGCCCUUCCCCACCUCCUGGCCGGGGAGCUGGCUCUUCCACUGCCGCGAGCCCAAAUCUAGACCUGACCUGGAGGCACAGUCUCGCAGGCUCUUGCUCCCUGUGCCCAGUAGCAGUUUGAGUCCGGGACACUCCCCAGGGCCAUCUGGGGCUGCCCAGGCACUACAGCCAGCAGAAGACGCUACUGGUGUCCCUGAUGUUUGGUCAUUUUCAAUGCCAAUAACUAAGCUACAAUGGUUCUCCCACACCUGGAAGCUGAUGAGUAAUGAGCACUAUUAAUGCUUAUUUCAAAUGCAAAAAAACCUUGAGAUAAUGUACUAAAUUGUUCAGAAGGUUGUUUUCUUAGUAGAAUGCUACAGGAUUUUCUUUAGCCAUCCGGAGUUCCUGCCUUCGUCCCAGUGCCGGUAAAGACCAAGGUNCUGUAAAAACCACUAUGGUCGUUAUUUAAAUUAAACAAAAGGGGAAAAUGUUAGAGUCUGUAAACAAGUCAAAAAUAACACCUGGCAUUUUGCCAGGGGAAUGUUAGAGUUCGUAAACAAGUCUGGAUGGUGCCUGGCAAAAUGCCAGAGGGAGUGGUUUGAGAAGUAACAAAAACAAGCCAUUAAGUGUGGAGAUUCCUUAUUGGUUGACUGAUGUAUCUAGUUUAUGCUAAUUAGAUAAGCUGUGUGGAAUGUAUAAAUACUGCUCCUGUCCUGCAAUAAACGGCUCCUACUCCUGCUGUAUCAAGUACACAAGUUAUUCG